Podarcis lilfordi (Lilford's wall lizard) is the source of this 69-nucleotide non-coding RNA. NCBI's taxonomy places the organism in Eukaryota, Metazoa, Chordata, Lepidosauria, Squamata, Lacertidae. The record is from the annotation of a GenBank genome assembly.
CUGAAGCUCAGUGGUAGAGCGUCUGCAUUUCACGCAGAAGGUCCCAGGUUCAGUCCAUUGACAGAUAGG